Molecule: ribosomal RNA, 264 nt
Filed under: uncultured bacterium
Lineage: Bacteria
Description: partial 16S ribosomal RNA
Source: RNAcentral
CUGCUGCCUCCCGUAGGAGUUUGGACCGUGUCUCAGUUCCAAUGUGGAGGACCUUCCUCUCAGAACCCCUACUGAUCGUCGCCCCGGUGGGCCGUUACCCCGCCGGCAAGCUAAUCAGACGCAUCCCCAUCCUUUACCGGCCGAAGCCUUUGGUCAUGAAAAUAUGCAUCAACAUGACAGCAUACGGUAUUAAUCCGCCUUUCGACGGGCUGUCCCAUAGUAAAGGGCAGGUUGGAUACGCGUUACUCACCCGUGCGCCGGUCG